RNAcentral lists this transfer RNA (72 nucleotides) under Bacteroidota bacterium. RNAcentral describes it as "Bacteroidetes bacterium (groundwater metagenome) tRNA-Arg". It matches the Rfam family "tRNA". From Rfam's summary of the family: Transfer RNA (tRNA) molecules are approximately 80 nucleotides in length. Lineage: Bacteria; Pseudomonadati; Bacteroidota. The record is from RNAcentral.
GCCCCCGUAGCUCAGUGGAUAGAGCAGUGGUUUCCGAAGCCAUGUGCGCAGGUUCAAUUCCCGCCGGGGGUA